UGGGGAAUUUUGCACAAUGGGGGAAACCCUGAUGCAGCGACGCCGCGUGAUUUAGAAGGCCUUCGGGUUGUAAAAAUCUUUUCUAUGGGAAGAAAAUGACAGUACCAUAGGAAUAAGGACCGGCUAAUUACGUGCCAGCAGCCGCGGUAAUACGUAAGGUCCGAGCGUUGUCCGGAAUCAUUGGGCGUAAAGGGUACGUAGGCGGGUAAGCAAGUUAGAAGUGAAAUCCUAUAGCUCAACUAUAGUAAGCUUAUAAAACUGCUCAUCUUGAGGUAUGGAAGGGAAAGUGGAAUUCCUAGUGUAGCGGUGAAAUGCGCAGAUAUUAGGAGGAAUACCGGUGGCGAAGGCGACUUUCUGGCCAUAACCUGACGCUGAGGUACGAAAGCGUGGGUAGCAAACAGG
RNAcentral lists this ribosomal RNA (402 nucleotides) under bacterium. RNAcentral's name for it is "partial 16S ribosomal RNA". It matches the Rfam family "Bacterial small subunit ribosomal RNA", at positions 355 to 776 of the family's 1533-position model. The record is from RNAcentral.